AGUGCUCCAGGGUUCUCACAGUGCUGAAAAGAAGUAUGCCUGCCUUUAUCACAUCCUGACAGUUACCUAAAACCCAGAAAAACACAAGGGCAUGAAACACUCAGGCUCUGAUUUGGGUUUAAAAGGAAAAAGUGAAGAGGACAUCCCAGCCCCUGCCCAGAAUCACAGCACCUGCACUGUUUUCUUCUGCCCUCUGGCUGCACAUGUGGCCAGUAGAAGAUAAUAAAGGUGGAUUGCAUUGGACAGAAAAGAGUGAUGUUACAUUUUCUGGCACAAGCCACUGCCUUUAUCUUGAACAGCAUCUCCCGAGUACUGUGGGAACAAAGAUGCUGUGCUUGGCUUGCCUGAAGAAAAAAGAAUUCAGCAACAUGAGCUGGAAAUCAUCAGAAAGGCGGGCUAAGAUGAGAAGAAUUUCAGAGUUACAGAGGAACUACAGAACAAACUUUCGAUCCUCUGCUGUGUAGAGCCUGGUUUUAGAUAUUUAUUUUGAUCCCAAGAAACUCCAGUUAUCCAGUCCUAAAUAUCUGGUCACUAAUAUAUCACUCAGGUAAUAUUUCUUACAGGAAAAUUCUGUGAACACACCAGUCUAAUGAAAUAUCCUCAGUAAUGGUCUCUGUAAUUUCCCUUUUAUUAGCUUUGUCAUACAUAUUUUAUUUGAAUAUAUCCUCCUGGAGAAUGCUUAAAAUUAGGAGGUUUUAUUCCUGCCUUUCCUUGCUAGUUCUCUAAACUGGAUAUUUAAAGAUGUUUUAAUAACUCCUGAUAAAUCAGCAUUGUUGGAGUUUAUUACUGUGCUUUUUUUGCAUAACGUCCCACCAAGGCCUUUCUGCUAUUACAUUACACAGACUUGAACACUGUAGGAUACAUUUUAAUUCUCUAAACCGAGUCCGAGUUUUCUGAAAAUGUGGACAGAAAUUUGCAUUAACGUCUACCAAGUCAAAAUAGAAUGAAAAAUGUUUAGGUGUAGAAAAAUAAUUGUUUUAUUACUAAAGUAUGUAAAUUACCAGAAUAUUCCAUUAUUUGCUAAAAAUCAGGAAACUCUUAGCAUAAAUAAACCAAGAAGAGAAUGCUAUUUUUGGACAUUUAAGUUGACAUACACCUAGAAAGAGAUAUUUCUUCUUAGUACACUGUGCCUCAAAAGUCAAUUUCCCAUUUACAGGCAAAUGGAAAAUAAAUCACUUUAUGUCACUUUGCUGAGAGCAAAGGAUGUUUAAAAUAAUAAUGUCAGUAUAGCAUGAUAUUUUCUCUUCCAUCAACUCUGAUGUCAUGUUUGAUACUAUGUUAUUGUGUUUUAGGUCCCAAGAUGAAAUGAUUGGCGUAUGAAUCAUUUUGACUUUGACCUAGGAAAAAUUGGGAAAUGAUAACUUGUCUAAAGGAUUUAUCUUCUGACUGUUGGAAAGUGUAAAACAAUCUAAAAAUGUUCUUUAAUGAUACCUCUUUUUAUGCAAUGCAGCUCAGGAAAAUAUGACCUAGUACUAUACUAUGAAUUAUGCUAAAAUGCAACAUUACAGAGGCACAUGUAUUUGCCAUGAAAACUGAUAGUAAUGUAGGUGUCCAGUGUCUAAAAACCUGGUUUAAUACAUCACAUGUAUUUGUUGUGAUAGGUACCACUGAAAAAUAAAUAUUUACCUGUAGUUUGCUGUGUGAUGUUUUUUUCCUGAGAGUUAUAAAUCAUAUUAAUGUCUAGGGUCCCAAUUUUGUGUCAGGUCUUAGGAAAAGAAUAUCCUGUGUAGGGUGCUGACUACCUUGUAAUUUUUGGAAUUACUUCAGGAUAUUAUUGCAGACUACCAGCAACCCUAUCUUUCCUAGUAUAUUCCUAUAAUAUAAUAAUCUGCCCUGGAAAUGGUAAACUUCUUACAUCCAAAAUCUUCAAAGUAGAAAAAAUAUAUUUCCCAGGUAUUCUGGGAAUGAACAUUUCCUGGAUUCAGUGUAACAUGCUUUUAAUUACAUAGCAUAGGGUAAAAUCAUCACAGAUCUCCUUUGCCAAGUUAACUUUUUAAACUAACUUUACAAUAGAUUUAUAUUACCUGUGGAUAUGUAGUAGUAAAGCCAAACCUGUUUGAUUUUCAAACCAUCACAAUUUAAAGAGCUAUAAUUCAUAUUUAAUGAAGAAAAAUUUAUAUGAAAACUUCCACAACCAUUUAACAAGAGACUUUAUGAGCAGGUUUUUUCACUUUGCUAAAAGCCCUUCACCUAAUCCUUUAAUUUUAUAGGCUGAUGCAAUGUGUUUAGAAGAAGUUAGGAAUUUUGAUAAUAUUUUUAUAAAAAUCCUAAUAUUAGAAAUAACUACUUGUUAGAGUUACAUGGGAUGCUGGCAAAUUUCCUGAAAUGUCUAGAAAUUCCUUUUUUAAUGACAAAAGUGACUUAUUGCAAGUAGAAUAAGGAAAAGAAUCAAGUCUUUAUGUCACUGACAUUGAUGAUAUAAAUUUGAACUCAGAAGUCUACAUUCCCUUUCUAUGUAAGUACUAAGUUAGGGCAUGAAAGCAACACAGUGAAUAGGGCUGGAUUUCUGUAAUGCCUUGGCAAAGUAUGAUGAAAUCUUAAUCUUACAACUGCAUUAGGUCUGCCUGAACUCAAACAUUAGAAUAUGCUUUUCAGUCUGACUUAAAUAAAAAAAUUAAUGAGAAAAAAAUUAUUGUGAGUCUGGUUGGGAAUUAUUUGCCCUGAAUUAGUUAAAGCCUAAAUUUAAAAUCCUCAUCACUUCUCUGGAAAAGAGCGUUGUCAAUUACAGGUCAUAUGGAGGAGCUGAACACACCUGUGAUA
This is a non-coding RNA of Taeniopygia guttata (zebra finch), 2760 nucleotides long. Lineage: Eukaryota; Metazoa; Chordata; Aves; Passeriformes; Estrildidae. The record is from RefSeq and is a predicted model, not a curated record.